Molecule: long non-coding RNA, 1687 nt
Organism: Balaenoptera musculus (blue whale)
Lineage: Eukaryota; Metazoa; Chordata; Mammalia; Artiodactyla; Balaenopteridae
Exons: 4
Source: RefSeq, a predicted model, not a curated record
GAGAUAUUCCACAUAACACUCAGCUGAUCUGGAAUCACUUUCUUUGCAGGGCCAGAGAAAAAUCACCAGUUCACUGUCUGAGGGAAGCAGGACAGAGGACCUGGGAAAUGCAAGCUCACCCUGGAGCAAGAUCUUCUAUGGUUUGGCACUCCUAACAGUGCCGGCCUUAAAGAUUCCACCCACCGCUGGAACCCGGAGGGCAACUAUAGCAGCAAAAACCCGAAGUGCUGCUGCCUAUGGUGACUAUGUGAGAACUGAAACUUCUGAGGGAAGCCGUGUUGUUAAAAUUGUGAUUCCUUUUACUCAAUGGUAACACGGAUGAUCUAGUCUGAAAGGGAAAGCAAGCUCUUAAGCAUCCUCCCUGAAUCUAACUCACCCAUGCCUGCCUCAGCCUGGAACUCCUCAAUCCAGCCCUCUGACUGGCCCAACUUCAAUCCCAAGCAUGGCUUUGGAGCAGACCCUGCCAGAAGAAGCGAGAAAAAACAAUGAUCCAACUCAUGGCUUUUGAAGAACUAGAGAAAAUCAUGGCCACAUGAAAGAAGGAGUCAUCACUCAUGCCUCUAGGCUCUUUGAUUGGUUCAGAUAUCAUAGCAACCCCCUCACCUGAUCUCCUGGGCCAUCCCCCUCUCUCCAGCACCCUACACCCACGCAAACACCAGAUGGCAGUUUUUAGAUAAGCUUCUCUAUCUUCUGGUGAAGAGUUGCCUUGUAACGAAGAAUAGAUCCUAUAGCUCUGAAUCCUUCCAAUUCCCCUGUUUGGCCCUUAACUGAUUCUUCCUUAGUGAAUACGCAAACCUCUGGACUGGAGACAAAUAUGCAUAAAUCAUACCUGCAACUCCAUGUAGGACAAAGGCUACAUGGUACCAUAUUAAUAUAUGACUGCUCUUGAGCCUUAAAAAUCUUAGGACCUGAAGAAGGGCCUAAUCCACUAUCCUCAGUUCUAGAUGAGGGAGUGAAGGCCCAGAAAGGUAAAUGAUUUGCCCAAGGACUCACAGUGGUGAGUGCAGCCCAAGGACCAGACCAGGCUCUCCCAACAGUGGGCAGGGUUCUUCUCUGCAUUCAUCCCUAGGCUUUACAGGGUUCUAUGUUCUGCUGAGGAAUGCAUUGCACGGAGCCCCCUGUUGUACUGCUCUUGGUCUCUUGGUGUUAGAAUGACGCCAAGACACUAUUUCUACAUAAUUCUUAAACACUGUAGUCUCUGUUUUACAUCUGGUCCAUUAAGUUUCUCUCAUUAUCUGUGUUCCCGCCUGGACUUCUAUCAGGAGGAAUCCAUUCAUUAACAAAACUUUCAGAGAAAUAUCUUUGCCAUUUUUAGAAGUUUAUCAUUUAAACCUAAAGGAGGGAGAAAAAGGUUUGAGAUAGUGGCUUGAAGAAGAGUGUGGGUUGCUGAAUAGUGUGGAUUGUUGAAUUUAUUUUUUCUAGUUGAAGAUAAUUAGAGAUUAUUGCCUACCAUCUUCUUUGGAAAGACUGACAUUCACUUACUUCUCUAGCACAGAGCACAUUAACACUCUCAACCAAUAUCAUUUGAUUCUGGCUUAGAACUACAGAUCUGAUUUUCUCCAAGGGAGCCCUCAAGAUUUCUGAUUUCCCUUUCUUCCUAGGAUAAUUUAUAUUUUUUCUUCAAGUUAUGAUCUUCUAUUUUUUCCCUAAGUACUAUGUUAGCAAAUUCUGUGAGCUUCAGAAUAUC